UACGUAGGGUCCGAGCGUUGUCCGGAAUUACUGGGCGUAAAGAGCUCGUAGGUGGUUUGUCGCGUUGUUCGUGAAAACUCACAGCUUAACUGUGGGCGUGCGGGCGAUACGGGCAGACUUGAGUACUGCAGGGGGAGACUGGAAUUCCUGGUGUAGCGGUGGAAUGCGCAGAUAUCAGGAGGAACACCAGCGGCGAAGGCGGCGCUCUGGGCCGGUACUGACACUGAGGAGCGAAAGCGUGGGUAGCAAACAGG
Molecule: ribosomal RNA, 254 nt
Filed under: uncultured bacterium
Lineage: Bacteria
Description: partial 16S ribosomal RNA
Rfam family: Bacterial small subunit ribosomal RNA
Source: RNAcentral